This 654-nucleotide ribosomal RNA is filed under the name Triticum aestivum (bread wheat). Its description in RNAcentral is "partial small subunit ribosomal RNA". Lineage: Eukaryota; Viridiplantae; Streptophyta; Magnoliopsida; Poales; Poaceae. The record is from RNAcentral.
AUGAAACACCAUCGGGCGGUCUUUUUGAAGCUAGACUUCCACAAGGAAUACGACACGGUCCACUGGCCCUUCUUGCGGGAAGUGUUGCUUCGCAAGGGCUUCGACGACCGGUGGGUGACUAGGGUCAUGCAACUUGUCUCCUGUGGCCGGACCGAUGUGAACAUCAAUGGGGACAUCGGGCCCUACUUCCCCACCCUCUGUGGGGUUCGCCAGGGUGACCCUUUCUCGCCGUUCCUGUUCAACAUGGUGGUUGAUGCCCUUGCAUCCAUCCUUGAUAAGGCCAAGGAUGCUGGCCAUAUUCGCGACAUCGUCCCCCACCUAGUCGGAGGGGGAGGGGUCUCCCUCCUCCAAUAUGCGGACGAUACCAUUAUUAUGGUGGAGGGCUCCGUCCAAGACAUUGCUAACCUAAAGUUCCUCCUCCUGUGCUUCCAACAGAUGUCGGGCCUAACCAUCAACUUCGAUAAGAGUGAAGUGAUGGUUCUCGGGUUCCCUUUGGAGGAAGCACAGGCCAUAGCGGACCGGCUUAAUUGUCGGUUGGGUUCUUUCCCCACGACAUACCUGGGGAUCCCCAUUAGUGACUCGCGCCUCACCGUGGCGGACCUCCGCCCCACGGUGAGCUGCUCGCGUGAUCCUUAUCAACUCUUCACUUGCUAG